RNAcentral lists this ribosomal RNA (389 nucleotides) under Loktanella sp. Asnod1E10. Its description in RNAcentral is "bacterial SSU rRNA". It matches the Rfam family "Bacterial small subunit ribosomal RNA", at positions 387 to 793 of the family's 1533-position model. Lineage: Bacteria; Pseudomonadati; Pseudomonadota; Alphaproteobacteria; Rhodobacterales; Roseobacteraceae. The record is from RNAcentral.
UCUAGCGNUGCCGCGUGAGUGACGAAGGNCUUAGGAUCGUAAAGCUCUUUCGCCAGGGAUGAUAAUGACAGUACCUGGUAAAGAAACCCCGGCUAACUCCGUGCCAGCAGCCGCGGUAAUACGGAGGGGGUUAGCGUUGUUCGGAAUUACUGGGCGUAAAGCGCACGUAGGCGGAUCAAUAAGUUAGAGGUGAAAUCCCAGGGCUCAACCCUGGAACUGCCUUUAAUACUGUUGGUCUAGAGUUCGAGAGAGGUAAGUGGAAUUCCGAGUGUAGAGGUGAAAUUCGUAGAUAUUCGGAGGAACACCAGUGGCGAAGGCGGCUUACUGGCUCGAUACUGACGCUGAGGUGCGAAAGUGUGGGGAGCAAACAGGAUUAGAUACCCUGGUAG